AAAAAAUCACUCAGAUCAUUCAAAAACUUUUCGGCUUUUCAUAAACARCAAAAUUACACGAUCUUUUCGAUUAUCAUCUUCAAAGUAACAGUCUACUUGGAUAAAACAACUCAAAAUGCCUUUUGCCUGUUGCGGUUGCUGCGGCUCUUAUGGUUGCCCGACUGGCCCUUGUGGCCCCUGCGGUCCGUGUGGACCAUGCCGACCAGGCGGACCGUGCCAACCUUGCGGACCAUGUGGCCCAUGUAGCCCCUGCGGACCGUGUGGCCCAUGCAGCCCCUGCGGCCCAUGUGGUUCUUGUGGACCYUGCUGCGGACCGUCGUCAUGUAGUCCGUGCUCACCUUGCGGUCCGUGYGGACCUUSUGGUCCCUGCUGUAGCCCSUGCGGUCCUUGUAUAACGCGCGGUCCAUGCGGCCCUUGUGGWACGUGCGGACCCUGCUGCAAUCCAUACCCGGGCUGCUGUGCGUUCGGUUGUCCGUGCUCCAAAUGCCCGAACCCAUGCCGCUAUCUGAAACCAAAAUACUAAGUACUAAGGUAAUGUACUUACUGGCCGACUGUGGAGUACAAAACUUGGACCUGUGUGUACAGAGUGGGUUUGUUGCAGAACGAGUUACUAAUAAUAUGGAGACACUUGGGUUGGAAAUUGAAUUUCAAAUGCAACAAGCGCUGACAAAUAGUGGCGAUCGUUGGACAACGAGUCGAACAUGCGGUUAGAUAAUAGAUUUCAAAGAAUGCGUCUGCAAUUGCCAUGUGUCAUUUUGUUCAUUUGAUAUUUUGUAUGAAGAUAUAAAAGAAUAAAAAGAGUACACCUUGCAAAGGUUGAUUAAAAAUUUAAAAAUCACCGAGUCAGUGCAUUAAUUGUCAAAGAUGAUCGUUUUUAAUUCAUAAAAUUUCGAAAAAUUCCGAAAGUAAGCGACACCUCAUUGGCACGGAGAAUUUUUUUGUUAGAAAUUUCUGCGCUAACUAAAAACACUUCAGCCAUCACCUAAUGCAGUGCCCUUGCUGGUGCUAUCGACCGGCUCCUUGUGGUCCUUAUGGCCCCUUCGGUCCAUGGGGUUGUAUAGGACCAUGCGGUGCCAUAGGUCCAUGCACGCCUUGUGGUGCGCCGUGGGGUUCGUGUCAGCCGUGUGGCAGUUCRUGUUACGGCUCUUCGUGUUAUGGGCGUAGAUGUUGUUAAAGCAAGUUACCGAUACAAACGAGCGUACGCAGCAAAGCAAGCAGGUGAAGAUUAWUAAAUAAACGCAGCGUCGAUUUGGGCAAUGAAUUGGGUGAACUGCAAUGGCAAGUGUAUUUCGUUAUAAACAUUGAACUGCAUGGUGAAAGGCAYAAAAAUCAUAUAAAAAUAUUUAAAUACAAAAAUC
Molecule: long non-coding RNA, 1358 nt
Organism: Bactrocera latifrons
Lineage: Eukaryota; Metazoa; Arthropoda; Insecta; Diptera; Tephritidae
Exons: 3
Source: RefSeq, a predicted model, not a curated record